UCGAUUUCUUCGGAAUGAAGUUUUAGUGACUGAGUGGCGGACGGGUGAGUAACGCGUGAGGAACCUGCCUUUCAGAGGGGGACAACAGUUGGAAACGACUGCUAAUACCGCAUAACACGUAGAGAUCGCAUGGUCUUUACGUCAAAGAUUUAUCGCUUCAAGAUGGCCUCGCGUCUGAUUAGCUGGUUGGCGGGGUAACGGCCCACCAAGGCGACGAUCAGUAGCCGGACUGAGAGGUUGAACGGCCACAUUGGGACUGAGAUACGGCCCAGACUCC
Molecule: ribosomal RNA, 277 nt
Filed under: uncultured Oscillospiraceae bacterium
Lineage: Bacteria; Bacillati; Bacillota; Clostridia; Eubacteriales; Oscillospiraceae
Description: partial 16S ribosomal RNA
Rfam family: Bacterial small subunit ribosomal RNA
Source: RNAcentral